GAUGAACGCUGGCGGCGUGCCUAAUACAUGCAAGUCGAGCGAACAGACGAGGAGCUUGCUCCUCUGACGUUAGCGGCGGACGGGUGAGUAACACGUGGAUAACCUACCUAUAAGACUGGGAUAACUUCGGGAAACCGGAGCUAAUACCGGAUAAUAUAUUGAACCGCAUGGUUCAAUAGUGAAAGACGGUUUUGCUGUCACUUAUAGAUGGAUCCGCGCCGAAUUAGCUAGUUGGUAAGGUAACGGCUUACCAAGGCAACGAUUCGUAGCCGACCUGAGAGGGUGAUCGGCCACACUGGAACUGAGACACGGUCCAGACUCCUACGGGAGGCAGAAGUAGGGAAUCUUCCGCAAUGGGCGAAAGCCUGACGGAGCAACGCCGCGUGAGUGAUGAAGGUCUUCGGAUCGUAAAACUCUGUUAUUAGGGAAGAACAAAUGUGUAAGUAACUAUGCACGUCUUGACGGCACCUAAUCAGAAAGCCACGGCUAACUACGUG
This 497-nucleotide ribosomal RNA is filed under the name uncultured bacterium. RNAcentral's name for it is "partial 16S ribosomal RNA". It matches the Rfam family "Bacterial small subunit ribosomal RNA", at positions 28 to 507 of the family's 1533-position model. The record is from RNAcentral.